CCUACGGGAGGCUGCAGUGAGGAAUAUUGGUCAAUGGGCGGGAGCCUGAACCAGCCAAGUCGCGUGAGGGAAGAAGGUACUGAGUAUUGUAAACCUCUUUUGCCAGGGGACAAAGGCGGCCACGGGUGGCCGUAAGAGGGUACCUGGAGAAAAAGCAUCGGCUAACUCCGUGCCAGCAGCCGCGGUAAUACGGAGGAUGCGAGCGUUAUCCGGAUUUAUGGGGUUUAAAGGGUGCGUAGGCGGAUCGUUAAGUCAGUGGUAAAAUUGAGGGGCUCAACCCCUUCCCGCCAUUGAAACUGGCGCGCUUGAGUGGAAGAGAAGUAUGCGGAAUGCGUGGUGUAGCGGUGAAAUGCAUAGAUAUCACGCAGAACCCCGGUUGCGAAGGCAGCAUGCCGGAUUCCGACUGACGCUGAAGCACGAAAGCGUGGGGAUCGAACAGGAUUAGAUACCCUUGUAGUC
RNAcentral lists this ribosomal RNA (459 nucleotides) under uncultured bacterium. RNAcentral's name for it is "partial 16S ribosomal RNA". It matches the Rfam family "Bacterial small subunit ribosomal RNA", at positions 338 to 795 of the family's 1533-position model. The record is from RNAcentral.